Molecule: long non-coding RNA, 43957 nt
Filed under: Vigna radiata
Lineage: Eukaryota; Viridiplantae; Streptophyta; Magnoliopsida; Fabales; Fabaceae
Description: long non-coding RNA (VRAD_LNC015736)
Source: RNAcentral
UAUAUUUGAGUUGUAAAAUGAUCUCAAAUUUUUUUAACCCAAAGGACAAUGUUUAACUUUUAAGAUUUUUUUUUUAAAUAAAUUAAUUUUAAAAAAAAUAAAAUUUGAGAAAAUUUUAUUCCAAGCAGGUUGUCUUUGAUAAAAUUAUGGACCUUGAGACAAAACCUCUUGAAUCAGUUGAGUCAGAUGCACGUAAUGAUAAAGACUUGCAGAAGACAACAAAUGAAGUAAAGAAUGAUGGCAAUUCCCAAGAUGAAGAUUGCAACAAAAUAUCAUUACACAACAAAUUUGGAGAUAUAUCAAAAGGGGUAACAUUAGAAGAGAUCUAGGAAUUUUUGAAAUCUCUUAGGAUUGCAUUUUUUUAAUUUUGUGCAUUUAUUUUAAUUUUAACCAUAUUUUUGUAUGCUUUAAAAUUCCUAUCUUAUAUGGUUAAAUGUAUGAUUUUUUAAAGUUCUUUAUCCUAAAAUUAUUUGUUUUAAAUCUCCUAUUAUAUAUGUUUGAAUGGAUUUUUAUAUUUGAAAUAUAUUUUAUGCAUACAUGCUUUUAUUAAGGGAGAGUAUUAUCUUAGGGAGAGAACAUGAAACACAGCUUUUUAAUUAUGAUAAAAAAGGGAGAGAAAAUGUUUAAAGCUUAUUAUUAUUCACUAAUGCUCUUUUCCUCCAUAAGUUGUGUUCUUAUCCAGAUUAUUACUAAAAGCUUUAAAUCAAAGGAGUUUUUGAUCAUCAUCCAAAAGGGGGAGAAUGUUAGCAAAAUGAUGAAGAUGAAGUUUUGAUGAUGCCCAAAUCAACUAAAGAGAAAGGGAGAUUCAAGAAGAUCCUUUGAAGACUUGUUUUGCAAUGGAAAGCUUUUGUAAUAAUUGUAGUUUAUUGUUUAGGACUUAGAUUUUCAUUGGCUUUGAUUCCAUGUACUUUCAUACAUUGUAAUUAGUAUUAAGAGUCAAAAUCGCACUGUUUUAAUCGAUUAAAACUAGUAUUAAUCGAUUAAAACGAGUAAAAGCUGAAAACUCAAUUUUUUCUGUUUUAAUAGAUUAAAAUUCAUUUUAAUCUAUUAGUUAAUCGAUUAAAAUUCAUUUUAAUCUAUUAGUUAAUCGAUUAAAAUUCAUUUUAAUCGAUUCAAAGUGACUAUUGGAGUUUUCUAACUUUUGAAAACUAGCCGUUGCACUCAAUUUAAUCAAUUAACAGUAAUAUUAAUCGAUUAAAAGCGUUAAAUGGUUAGUUUUGAAUAAUGAAAUAGUUUUUGCUUGAGUCUAUAAAUAGGCUCUCUUUAUCCAUCAACAACAACUCUUCCCUUGCGCUAAAAUACUCAGAACUCUUUGAGAAUUGUGUGCUCUUGCUUAGUUAAGGAAACUCUUGUUUGUGGAACUGGUGAAUUAUUGCUACGGUGACAGAGGAAUAACUGGUUCAUCCUUGGUGCGUCUGAGGAGGUGUUUGGAAGAGGAUCAUCCUUCGUGAAGUAUUCGGAGGAGGUGUUUCAUCCUUGAAGUAUUCGAAGAAGGUGGUUCAUCCUUUGUGAAGAUUCAAAGGAGGUGCAGUUUUAUCUCUUGUGGUAUCAAGAGAGGUGAAUUCUAAACUUUUACAAAUUGUUUCUUUAUGAAUGUAGUUUGUAAUUGUUUUGUGCUUAAUGAACUGUUUAUCUUGAUUUGAGAUAAAUGACUGGACGUAGGAUUGGUAAGAUCUGAACCACUAUAAAACUCAUUUGUGCAAAUUUCUCUCAACAUUACUAUAUUUGUUAUUUGCACAGUAAGAUAAAUUGAGAAGAAAUUAAAAGACACACGUUUAUAUUAAAAACCCUUUUGAUUUAUUGUUCCAUGCUAACCAUUCCACUACAGUUGCUCUGACAACUAAUCCCUAAUUUUUAAUGAGUUUUCCCUAAAUCAAAACACACUCAUUUAUCAGUUUACCAUAUUUUAAAAUUUAAAAUGAUAUAUAUAUCCACAUAGUAAUCUCAAACUGUGCCACGUCAUUAAGUAAAGGACAACUCAACAUGCCACAUUGCAAGAAAGUUAACACCGUCCACAAUAACUAACAAUAAGGGCAUUAUUGACUCAAUUUUACCAAAAUAGGGACCUAAUUGAGAACUUUCAGAAUACGAGGACACAAUUGAUACGAAUCCGCAUAAAUAGGGACCUCUGAAUACAUUAAACCUUACACUAAUUUAUUUCUCACUAACAUAUAAAAUUUUGGUUAAAUAAAUUCAGUGGUCCCUAUUUUUAUUGGUUUUCUUCAAUUAGGUCCCCGUUUUUUAAAAAUGAUCAAUUUAGUCACUGAAUUUGAAAAAUCAAACCAAUGAAGGACAUUUCGUUAAUUUCCCUGGACGGCGUUAAAUAUAGACCAGUGCUUCUUUUUUCGCUUAAGCUAAACAUUUUCGCUUAUGCUAAAAAGACAGGUUCAAGUUUUGAAAGAUCCCAUAUGGUUAGAUGAAGAAAACCCUUUGCACAAGUGAAAAAUCAUCUUGUUCUUGGCUGCAUUGACAUUGAUGAUGACCCUAUAACUCAAGUUCUCUAAUGAAAGAAAUGUCGUGCUCAUGACAUAUGGCUGAGGAUUAUGUUCAUGUUAAGUAAUAAGCCUUCUCAAAGCUCAUUUUAUGUUGAUAUGUGCACCCUGCAUUGUCAUGAGUUUUUAAUUGACAUUCAUUUCCAUCUCAAUUUGUUCCAUGUCAAGCAGAAAAGCAGUUUUAUCGUGGUCACUUCAGUGAGGAGUGGUGAACUGUCAGUGUACAAAUUGAUCUAGUUUUACUGUUCUAGUCCAAAGUUGUGUACUCACAUUAGCGAUGUAAAUGUUAAUCCAGUGGUAUAUCCCCCUAUAAGAUAGGGCAGUAUUUGAAUUUAACUUCAACUUCAGAGUGCUUAGAGGCACCGAUACUGAGUUUUCAUUUAAAGCCCUUAUGCCUUACAUCAACUGAUGAAGGAAAAUGCUUUGUAUAUAUUGAACUUUUGGUUAGAGUACACGUUAUUCAUUUUACUGAAAACUGCUUUGGUUUUUUGUAUCAAAUCCCAUCUCCCCUUCGAUCAAAUAGGCCUUGGAGGAAUACUUAUGGCAUGCUUGGAUAGAAGAAAAAUAAAUUACUAAUGAUGAUGUUAUUUUUUCUAUUUGGCUAGAAAGAUUGUAAACGUGUAAGGAAAAGAAAUGUUAAUUUAUAGAAACAAUUUAUUUGUUCUUUCAACUAUUGUUUAGAUUUAAAUUUUAAACUUUUACUUUCUUUUCAUUGUACCAAGCAGAUUAAGGUAAGCAAAAAUUUCAAAACUGGAAUCUGUUCUUUUAGUUUAAACAAAACUUUUUAGCUUAAGCAAAAUUUUUUAGCUUAAGCGAAAAGUUUUAGCUUAAACGAAAAAAAGAAGCACUAGUCUAUAUUUAACGUCAUUCAGAGAAAUUAACGGAAUGUUCUUGAUUGGUUUGAUUUUUCAAAUUUAGGGACUAAAUUGAUCAUUUUUAAAAAACAAGGACCUAAUUGAAGAAAAUCAGUAAAAAUAGAGAACACUGAAUAUAUUUAACCUAAAAUUUUAAUAAAAUCUUCUCCAUUUAAAAUUAUUGAAAUAAAAUACUAAACAAAAAACAUCUUAAUAAUGAAACUUUUGUUGCUAGUCUUUUAUGGUUCGCAGAAAUUGGCGACGAAUGGGGCACGUCUAAUUGGUUUAUAACCAGCGCGUAAUACAUUUUUGAUGAAAGAAGUGUUGACAUGGAAGUGCGUAACACUCGGCAUUGAGAUCGAAUUCAUCCAAGCAUAUACAACAAAAACACUCAGUCUAUAACACUGUAGAUUUCUUCAACGUGUCAAUGGGUUUAACGAUUGCUGGAAUUAUUCUUAAAGGAUAUUGUGUUGCUGCAUGCAUGCUGCUAUCAGUAACAUUGAUUACAAUCCAUAGAGGAAUUUCUGGGGAUUGAGAUUCCGAAGAAGUAAUAGCAUGAUCAUCAAUGUGGAAGAUUCCUCGAAUUUCAUCAACAACCAUGUUUACUAGUUUGUCAAUAAUGUUAGUGUCGAAGAGUCUGAGCGAUCACAAAAGUUGUUUAAUACUCUGACAACUGCAUAUAAUUAAAGCAAAUAUGUUAACCCGCCAAUGGAUCAUGUACAACUUAACGUCUUUCAUGGUUUGGUAAUCUUCCUUCGACAUUCCCAUACUCAAAUAAGUGUAAUGAAAUCAAUAAAAAAAAAAUGAAGGAGGUUGGUUGAUUCUGCAAAUAAAAAAUGGAUGAAAGAAAAGAAACUGCGGAUGAGAAAGAAUUAUAUCAAUGAAAGACAUAGUGAAGUAACCACCCAAAUCACCAUUAGCCCGAUAAACCACUAUUAGCCUGAUAGAAAGAUGAAUAAAGAUUAAUAGUAUCUUCAAAAUAUAUCAUUCAUACUCCGGUGACAGAAAACAAGGGCUAAGAAGACGCAUCAAUCAGGUCUUUCCAAACUAGAGCCAGUAAUACCAUAUGGGGAGCAGUAAUUCAAAAGUAUCUCGACAUAUGAACAAGGAAUUAUGUUGUAGAUAAAUCUACAGAACUACAUUUAUUGUGGCAUAGAAAACAUGUAGUUAUAUUCGUACACAGUCAGGUUUAGCUCUACGACCAUAACCAAAGAAACUCAAAGAUGAGUGUAAGAAAUACAAAUACCACAUUCAUUCUGUACAAAGGUUCAGGUUCAUCUCAUAAAAGGAGGCAAUACAUAUACUACGAGACAUAAUCCCUUCCCGCCCAUCUCUCCACUACUGACAUUAUAUAUAUUAUAUGGGAAAGAGAUAAUUUUUUAUGUGACAUUAUAUAUCCACACCUGAAACCUAAAGAAAAAUCUGAAACUGAAAGAACCCUAAAAACCUAAAUCACCACCCUGAGCAUCUCUACAUUCUCUCUCCUCGCCACCACAAACACUAACGGGAACUCAACCAACCAUUCAGACCUUCAUCUCGCCACCACAUAGCAUCAGCAGCGCUAUAAAGGAGAAGAGGCAAAACCCUAUCGUGAAGAAAGGAAAGGACUUGAACCCUAGCAUGACCUUCCUUGGCGUCGUCGCAUAACCUGCCUCCAUCAACCUUCGUCUUUGGGCUUCUCAAUAAUCAACAACCCGAACCUGCAAGAAGAAACCCAGAGAAGAAACUCCCAAUUUCCAAAUCACUAAUCCCUAAUUUUUAAUGAGUUUUUCCUAAAUGAAAAAACACUCAUUAAUCAGUUUACCAUAUUUUAAAAUUUAAAAUGAUAUAAAUAUCCACGUAGUAAUCUCAUACUGUGCCACAUCGUAAGUAAAAGACACCUCAAUAUGCCACAUUGCAAGAAAGUUAACUUCGUCCACAACAAUUAAGAAAAUUGAUAUGAAUCCGCAUAAAUAGGAACCUCCGAAUACAUUAAACCUUACACUGAUUUAUUUCUCACUAACAUAAAAUUUUAAUAAAAUUUUCUCUAUUUAAAUUAUUGAAAUAAAAUACUAAAUAAAAAACAUCUUAAUAAUGAAACUUUUGUUGCUAGUCUUUUAUGGUUCGUAGAGAUUGGCGAGAAAUGAGACACGUUUGAUUGGCUUUUAGCCAGCGCGUAAUACAUCUUUGAUGAAAGAAGUGUUGACAUGGGAGUGCGUAACACUCAACAUUGAGAUCGAAUUCAUCCAAGCAUAUACAACAACAACACUCAGUCUAUAACACUGUAGAUUUCUUCAGUCUAUAACCGCAAAUAUAUUUACAGUAUAAGCUAAUAUAAAUUUUCUUUUAACCAUUACACAUUACAAAUUAUACAUUAUCUUUUAUAUAACCACAACUAUAUCAAGUAAAUCGAAUUCAAAUAAAUUUAAAGCAAAGAUUAUAAAAUAAAUUACUUACCAUCAUAAAAAAAAAUCUUCAAUAUAAUUAAGAGAAUUUUAAUAUUUUAAAGGGUUAAAUAUGUUUUUAGUCCGUCAACUAUUGAACGUUUUUGGUUUUAGUCCAUCUUUCAAAAUAAGGUACAAUUUAGUCCUUAAUGUUUUGAAAACUUUGGUUUUAGUCCUCCAAAACUAACGCUGUUAAAAAUCUGUUGUUGUGUCUAAUGUUUGUCCACGUGUGUUAACUGUUUUGCUGCCUCUCUCUUGACACUUUUGAUUGCUUUUUUGGGGCAUUAGGGGUUCUGCAUUUUCCUCCCAUUCUCGCAAAUUCCCGAGACUUAGGGUCUCUUCUUCUCUGCAGACAAACAGAAACCCCAAGGCACUCAAACGUUGGCAACCGCACCAUCCUCACCUCCCCCCAACCGGUAGCUGCGAACCGCGACCCCGGCGUCGCCAGCGAUGACGUCUAUUGCCAGAGCCAUCGUCAACCGACCGCGCCACCGCAUCAACCGACACAAGCCGCAGUUCGUCGCGCUAACGCCCUCGCCCACGAAGCCCGUCGCUGGCGACGAGAUCUUUUUCUGCUCCAUUUUCAUCGUGACAGAACGAAGGAACGACAAGAAGGCGCCGUUAGCCACCAUUGCUGGUGCCGCCAUUGGGUCAGCCCUUCCUGGCCACUCCAGCGGUUUCUUUGGGUUGCCUGGCCACCGCACAGUCUCGUCGGGGUCACCGUUAUGCUCUGAUUGGGGUUUUUGGUGGUUGGUGGGUGAAUAUGGACUGUAAAGGAUGGGUUACUGGGAUUUGGGUCGCGAUUCAAAACAUCGAUUUGCAGGUUCAAGUUUAUGAUUAAAGGUGUGAAGGUUUCUGACUUACAUUAUCUCCUCCUUGCAGGUUUAGAUAGAAUAAUGGAGUGCGACUGAUGGGGUAGUACCUAGGAACCAGCGACUAUCGAUGGUCCAAAGGGAAACUGGGUAUUGGGGGAAAUGGUUGAUGGUUACUCCAUAAAGAUGAAUGGUGGUAGCUUGCUCAAGAGGAGAAACACCAUGGUGAGUUGAAAUGGGCAAGUAUGGUAUCUGUUGUUGAGGAGAAUAAGUUUAUUUCCGGAUGCAUAUUUCUUUUCCAGGUGACCAUCUGUGUUUUAUGAGUCUUCCUAUUCUUGCUCUCGUGAUGAAGGUAUAUGGUGAAGCCAUGUUUGUUGAGUGGAUUACAAAUGAAAGAUGAUAUGUGAUUCUGCUUCUGUUGGCUUUUAUUUACGUUUUCUAUAGCGCUUUUCUGGGUGCGAGUAAAUGGGUAUAUCGAAGUCCAGAUGUUGGGGGAAUCUAUCUAUCAUCUUCGCAACUUCAAAAGAACUCUUCCUUUUGGUUUUAGUUCCCUCUACCUUCUUCGAUUGCUUUUUCCUUUUGGUUGUCCCACGUUCUUGCAGGCGUUGGAAAAUUUGGUUGAAAAACUUUGUUGAAAAACUUGGUUGAAGGCAAAAUGGUUUACUGGUGGCCCAAAUGGUAAAAAAGCAAAAAAGCAAUCACAUGUGUCAAGAAAGAGGCAAUAAAACAGUUAACACACGUGGAGAGACGUUAGACACAUCAACAAAUUUUUAACAGCAUUAGUUUUGGAGGAUUAAAAUCAAAGUUUCCAAAACAUCGAAGACUAAAUUGUACCUUAUUUUGAAAGAGGAACUAAAACCAAAAUCGCCCAAUAGUUGAGGGACUAAAAACAUAUUUAACUUUUUUUUAUUAUAUUAGUAGUUUAUAAACUUUUAUUAUAUUUUAAGAUAUAGUUAUAAAGAUAUAUUAAGAAUAUUUAUAUAUUUAAUUGUAUUUUUUAUUUUAAAAAAUAAAAAUAUAAAAUGUUUACGCAAAUUGUUAUAUAUACUCCCCAACCUAGAGUAGUUAGGUGGGGAAGUAAAAUUAAACCUUGUUCAUACAUGGGCUUCUCGGGUACGAAAUGAGCCACUUCAAAAAGGUUCAUUGCUCCGNCCCAGAAUACUAUUAAUCCAGCAUGGGCUACAUGGGCCCCUAAUAGUUUACUGGAUAAAAUUGAUAAGUCGGGCAUUCCUGGCCCACCAAGCGAAACUGGUAGUUUCCUGGUCAUGACUAGUUAAAGCUAAAGUUCCAUUAAAGAGCGUUUCCACGUGGUAGAACCUCCUCAGGGAAUAUAAGGUUUUCAUGAGGCUGAUCUUGAACUGCCAUCCACGCACGAAUACCUUCGCUUAAGAGAAUAUUUUUGGUGUAGAAAGUCUCAAAUUCAGGAUCUUCCGCUGCGCGGAUUUCUUGAGAAACAAAGUCAUAAGCACGUAAGUUCAGGGCCAAACCAACUACCCCAAAAGCACUCAUCAUAAACCAGUUACUGGUACAAUUAAUAACAUAAAGAAAUGUAACCAAUGUUUAUUGGAAAAAGCAACCCCAAAGAUUUGGGACCAAAAGCGAUUAGCAGUAACCAUUGAAUAAGUUUCUUCAGCUUGGGUUGGGUUAAAAGCACGAAAUGUAUUUGCGCCAUCACCAUCUUCAAAUAAAGUAUUUUCUACGGUUGUACCGUGAAUAGCGCAUAGUAGUGCAGCGUCCAAUACACCAGCAACUCCCAUCAUAUGAAAUGGGUUUAAUGUCCAAUUAUGAUAUCCUUGGAAAAAAAGGAUGAAUCAAAAUAUAGCUGCUACACCAAAACUAGGAACAAAGAACCAACCAGACUGACCCAGUGGAUAAAUAAGGAAUAUAAUAUAUAUAUAUAUAUAUAUAUAUAUAUAUAUAUAUAUAUAUAUAUAUAUAUAUAAUUAAGUUUGAAUUCACGAUAAAAUUGAAAGUUUUUAAUUUAAUUUCUUAUAAACUAUGGUUCAUUAAAUAAAAUUAUACUUUUAAUUGACUUUAUAUUAUUAAAUUUCUUUUUUAAAUAAUGUAACUAUGUGGCUCUUAAUGGGAUGAUAUUACUGUUUUCUUGUUGGUCACCUUCUACUAAUGUUGUCACCAAUAAAAUUACAAUAAUAAAAACUUACGAUUUUCAUAAUUUUUAAUUUUAUAAAAUUAUAGAAUUAUAACACAAUUAAAUAUAUGUAUUUAGUCAUGCUAAAUAUGAUUCUUUUCCUCCAAAAUUUUAAUAUAUUUUUAUUUUUAAAUUUUAAUAAUCAUUUUAAUUCAAUCAGAUUUUCUUUUUCGAAUUAAACACCUUUGGUUUAAUGUUUGAGUUGUUUAUCUUUUUAAAUAUGUUUUUGCUAUGAAAAUGUGUUUGAGAGAAAUAAAUCAAAUUUUAGAUUAAAAGACAAAAAAGGUAAUUUUAAAAAAGAAUUUUUUAUAAAAACAUGAAUAUAAUGAAUGCAUUAUUAUGUUAUUAAAUGCAUUUUUUUUCUAUGCAACUUGUAAGAUAAAAAAGAAGAAGAAAAAUAAAAAUAAAAAUUCGAUGGAAUAAUAGAAUGAUAUGAUUCUAUUACAUACUUAUUAAUGAAAAAGUUUUUGUUUUUGGUAGCUCAAUUGAUGAGAGUAUUACUUUUGGACUACUCGUCAUGUGUCAUGUGAUUAAGUCUUACUUAAUUCAUAAAAUGUUUUGGUUGUUUUAACUAUACUAUUAUUGAUGAGAAGUACAUAUAUGUUUAGUGGUAGAUGAUAUAAUGAAUUGAAUCUUAAUAGUUUAAUGGUUGAUAUGGAUGUUUGAUACCCAAAGAGAAUGAGGUUCAAACCUUGAUUAGUGUGUUAUCAUUAUGUAUGGACCAAUUAUAGAAUGUCACGUAAAUGAUGUUAAAAUGUUAUUAAAGUAUCAUUAUCUUUUUAUGGAAUAUAGAAUUUAUCAUAAUGAACUAAAUUUACUAGUUUAAGUUAGCCAUAAAAGGUAAACAAAAUAAUACUAACAUCAAUAUACAUUGCUAAAGAACUUUAACCUAUAUAUCAAACUAAUUUAGUUGAAAUCCAUUUAAAAAGCCAUCACUAUAUAUCAUUAAAAUAUUUUUAAAAAGCUUUAUUUUGUAACUUAAUUCAUAUAGUAAUUUUGUUUGAAUUAUUAACCGAUAAACAUAAGUGAAAAGAUAAAUCACUGAAACUAUAAUUAGGCUUAUAUGAAUAGCCAUAAAUGAUCCUUGAUUAAAAAAACACCUCAUUGAUUAGAUCUUUCUUUUUUCUGCUGGAAUAUAACCAGCAAAUAACACUAGUGCAUGUACACAUUCAAUAAAACAACCAAGAACAUUGUGUAUUGCUACCAAAGACAUCCACCAAAAAAUUAAUUCAUCAUAGUAUUUAGUGAUAAUAAAAAACACCUUUACAUGAAUGUUAUACUUCAAACAAGAAAAUUUUCAUUACACUAAUUUAUUUCUCACUAACAUAUAAAAUUUCAAUAAAAUCUUCUCUGUUUUAAAUUAUUGAAAUAGAAUACUAAACAAAAAAUACCCUAAUCAUGAAACUUUUGUUGCUAGUCUUUUACGGUUUGCAAAGAUUGGCGACAAACAGGGCAUGUCAAAUUGGUUUGUAGCCAACGCGUGAUACAUUUUUGAUGAAAGAAGUGUUGACAUGGAAGUGCGUAGCACUCAGCAUUGAGAUCGAAUUCAUCUAAGCAUAUGCAACAACAACACUCAGUCUGUAACACUGUAGAUUUCUUCAACGUGUCAAUGGGAUUUUUGGUUGCUGAAACCGUUCUUGAAGGAUAUUGUGUUGCUGCAGGCAUACUGUCAUCAGUAACAUUGAUUACAAUCCACAGAGGAAUUUCUGGGGGUUGAGAUUCCGAAGAAGUAGCAACAUGAUCAUCAAUGUGGAAGAUUCCUCGAAUUUCAUCAGCAACCGUGUUUACUAGCCUGUCAAUAAUGUUAGUGUUGAAGAAUCUGAACGAUGACAGUGGCGAUAACGGUGAUAACAGUGACGAAGAAAACAGUGUCCGCAAUAAAUUUGGAGCCUCUUGGCGAAAGGUUUGGCUCGGUAUAAAUAUAAAAGGAGGAUCUCGUAGUUGAAGUGGAAGAAAUUGAUAACAAAGUAUCAUGCUAAGUUUGAAAAUAGCUCCAGGCAUAAAAGUAGUGAGCUCAGUGCCCAUGAGAGAUAUGCUGUAACGAAAUGGUCCUGAAUAUAGCAUAAAAAAAUAUGAGAUUAUUGAAAAUCACUAUAGAUGAACAUAAAUCGCUAUUUAUGAAACUUACCUGUUGGGGUUAGUGUUGACAUGAUUGAACUCUUGAUAAGUCCUUGAUACUUUCUGCCUGCAGAAUUAUAUUCUUAGUAUUUUUUUUCCAGUAUUCUCCUCAAUAUCUAAUGGUCUUUAUAUAGAGGGAGAUUUAUUUAUUUGUUGAAUUAAAGAUAAAGGGAAAUUAUUGUUUAUAUUUUUUUAUAUCUUAAUGUAAUAUAUUAUUAGGAUUUGAUUUAUUUGUUGUUGAUUGAAAUUAUAUAUCUUUUAUCUUCUUUUUUUUAAUUAGAAUGUUAUUUUUAUAGUUUGAUUUUAUAUUGUUUAAUUAAAAUUUUAUCUUUAGAGCUUUUUUAGUACAGAUAUUUUAUUAUAAGUUAUUUAAAAUAUUAAAAUUAUCUUAAAUCAAAUAUAUUGAACAAUUUUUUUAUGAUUUUAAGUAAUUUAUUUUAUAAUCUCUGUUUUAAAUUUUUUUGAAUUCGAUUUACUUUAUAUAUUUGUGGUUAUAUAAAAGAUAAUAUAUAAUCUGUACUGUGUAAUGGUUAAAAGAAAAUUUAUAUUAGUAUGCUGUAAAUAUAUUUGCGGUUAUUGCUUUUAUUAUAUUAGUAGUUUAUAUGUUUUUUUUUUAUAUUUUAAAAUAUAGUUAAAGAUAAAAUCAGAAUACUUAUAUAUUUUAUUGUAUUUGUUAUUUUAAAAUAUAAUUGAAGAUAAAAUAAAACUAUAAAAUGUUUACGCAAAUUGUUAUAAAUUUAUAUAUAUUAUAUAUAUGAUCUUUUCUCUUCUUAAAUAUUCACAGUAACUUUUUACGUGGAAGUCAUCUUUAUAUAAUGAUUUUUUUUUGGUUAGAAAUAAAAGAAAGUUAAUUGUUUAUUCUUAAUAUCUAAGAUCUUUUUCUUUUAUUUUUUAUAUUUUAUAUUUGAUUCAUCAGCAUUUAAUAUAUAUAUAUAUAUAUAUAUAUAUAUAUAUAUAUAUAUAUAUAUAUAUAUAUAUAUAUAUAUUCUUAUGAUCGAGUGUUGAAGAUUUUCAUGAUUUUAAAUGCUUAUUUUAUAAUCUAGUUGAAUUUGAUUUACUUUAUAGUUGUACAUAAACAAAUAAUUAAGGUGUGAUUUAUAGUGUUGUCAGUUAAUAUAUUUGCAGUUAGUUUUUUUUUUUAUUAAUUAUAUGCCUAAUUUGUAUGUAUGUUUUAAAAUGUAGUUAAAGAUAAGAAUUUUGGUAGAUGUAAUUUGUAUAUUUUUUAUUUUGAUAGAUGUAAUUUGUAUAUUUUUUAUUUUAAAAUAAAUUGAAGAUAAAUAAAAAAUAUGAAAUAUUUACUGUGAAUUGUUAUAAAUUUAUAAAUUAUAGAUAUAAAAUAUGAGCUGGGUUAAUACAUAUAUUAUCUGUUAUUUAUUAUAAAUUAUAAAUAAGCUUUUGUGUGAUAUGACCUAUUAUUAUUAUUAUGUAUUAUUUAUGUAAAAACCUUUUUUUUUUUUUUGAAGUUUUUUAGCAAGUUAUAAGUGUAAAUUUGACUUUUAUGUACACCAACAUGUUAAUAACUAAGAAAUGUAAAUAAAUAUACAUUAAAAUGCUUAUAUAUAAUUAUUAUAAUAUUCAAAAAAAGAUAAGAUGAGAAUGUUGUAAAUUAUUGAGGAUGUAAUGUUAUUUAUUGUUAUUGUGAGAGUAUCAAUACCAAAGCAAAUGAUGUUAUUUUUAGUGUAAUAUAAGUAUCGAAUUAGUUAUGUAGGCUUUAUUAAUAAUUUAAAUCUUAAAUAAGAAUGUAUUAAGGGAUGAAAAUAGAUAAGUUCUUAUCACUCCUUUGAGAACCUAUACGUUAAAUACUACUUAAAUUGAAUUAUUUCAUGGAAUUUUAUAUGAAAAAUAUGAAGAUUAAGUGUACCACAUAUAAAAAAUUGUUGCAAUCAUAAAAUUAAUAGAUUUUCAUAUAUGAAUACAAUUUGACCUAUAAAAUCAAUAAAUUUUUUAAACAAUAUUCCAUAUAAUAUAUAAAAGGAUGUUAGUAUUAAAUGUUAGAACCCAAUUAUGCAUUUCGUAAGUAACUUAGUUCUAGUAUUUAUAUAAAAAAAGUUUACCAAGUUGUUGAUAUAUGAAGAUAGAAUAAUAGAGAAUAUUCAAGUUAGAGGACAAUUUUCUAUUUUGUACAUUAUUUAAUAAAUGGCAGAUAUUUUGAUAAUGCUAAAUUUACUAUCAUAUUUUUUCAAUAUAAUUUGUUUUCUCAAAUAAAUAUAACACUAGAGAUGACGAAAAUAAUAAUAGUAGGGAUGGAAUUUUAUAAAAUGAAUGAAUUGGAAUUAAAUGUUCUAAAACUAAAUUUGAAAGAAGUUUAAGAAAAUUGAACAACUUAUGAAAUAGUUUAAACAAAUUAAAUUUAACUCAUUACGGUUGAGCAAAUUCAAUCUAAUUAAAAGACUCUAAAUUAUUUUCAAAUUGUUUAAAUUAUUUCAAAUUAGAGUAUUUUCUAAUUUCGUAACGUUAAUUCCUCACAGGCAUAAACCAGUACACGCUCAAGAGGAGACUUCACGUACAUUUGAUUUUUUAGUGUUUCAACCACAUCAUUCAAAACCUCAACCCUAAAACAAGUGGCUUUAUCUAUAGGAUGUUGCAUUGUUUCUUCCACAUUAAACGUCACAGUUUCAUCAUGCAAUCUAACCUUGAGAUGUCCAUCAUCCACAUCAAUAUCCUAGCAAUUUUUAUGAACGGUCUACUAAGAACAAUGAGGACUUCACUAUCCUGUUCCAUAUCUAAAAUAACAAAAUCCAUUGGAAAAGGGAAUUUGUCCAUUUUUACCAAAACAUCUUCUAUGACUCCAUAUGGAUGGUUGAUAGACAUGUCAGCUAAUUGGAGUGUCAUUCUUGUAGGUUUUACUUACAUGUCACCAAUUUUCUUCAACAUUGAUAAAGGUAUCAAGUUGAUAUUUGCACCUAAGUCACUUAAUGCCUACUCGAUGGGUAAUUUUUCAAUGGUACAAGGAAUGGUAAAACUUUCUGGAUCUUUGAAUUUAGGUGGUAGAAGUUUUUGGAUAAUAGCAUUAUGUUAAAUUGAUUUUUGUCGCCUAAAAUUAGAACAAACUAAGUUUCUCCACUAAUGUAGUAAAGGGACAACUUAGGUAUCAAUCCACGGACUCGGUACAAUUAAGUUUCAAAAUAUAGAGUUAAUCUUGCUUUUUAUUUACUAACUAUUAACUAUCAGGUGGGGAAAAGAAAUGAAAUCAAUGAAAUUUAAAAGAAAAGAAUAAAGAAAGGAAUAUAUUAAAAAGGAAAAUGAAAUGUAAAGAACUAAAACCUAAACUAGAGUGAUGAAAAGAUAUUAAAUCUAACUAAGCAUACAAAUCAAAACAGUAGCUACUCUAACAUAUGAAUACUAUGAAUUAAUGAUACAAGAAAAACUGGAAGCAACUGAAUAUGGAAUUUAAUGAAAACAAAGAACAUUUAAAGAGAAAGAAGAGUUUGUGCAUAUAACAGAACCAAAAUUAAGGAAUCAGAGUAAGGAAAAUUUGUUAGAAUAAAAAACUAGAAUCAAAUUCAUGUAGAAUUAAUGCACAGAGUGGUUGAUCAUAUAUCAAGAAGACAUCCUGUUAAGAUAAGCCCAUCACAAGGUUUUAAAGUUCAUUUCCAGAACUUAAAAGUCAUUGAUCAUCACUUCCAUCAAAACCACAAUGAAUCUAAAUCCAAUUCAUGCAUCUAAUCAAUAUUAGAUAUGGAAUCUAAACUAAAUGCAACUAAAACUUACAAACCUACUCUAAAAUAUAUAAAACCCUAAUUAAAAUGAACUGAGAGAAGCAAAAAUAUGAAUUACAAUAUAUUUUUUUUCAUUGGACUCAUCUCCAAACUCAAGAAAACAUCUCGAUAAGUCAUGCUCACUGUGGAGUCAUGUAAUUCCCUAAGGAAUUUUAACUAUGUUGAUUCACAGUGUCCAAAUCAAAUUUUCAAAGUUAAACAAUUGAUAAAAGUUAUUCUAAAACAAUAUUUUUUUCUGUUGAACUCAACUCUGACUCAAGAAGACAUCUCGGUCAUGCAUGCCCUUGGGGUCGUUUAAUUCCAAAAAGGAUUUGCAUAUGUGUAGAGUUCUAGAGAUCAACUCAUUUUCAAAUCAAAACACGAAAAAUACGUACAUAAUCAACCAAGAAAUUAGAAACAUAAAGCACACAAAAUAGUAACUGAUACAAUAGGCAUUCAGGAGGAUAUUGGGUCAAUUGAAAGUGUCAGUGUUAGGCCCAAAAGAAAUAUUAGGAGACCCAAAGAUUGGGAUGACUAUGUGCACUGAGAGAGAGAGAGUAUUAUGUUGUUUUGUGAGAAUCUUUUUUGUAAUAACCUUUUUCUUAUUGUGUUUAUGUGGAUACCGUGAUAUACGAAUAAACCGUUAGUGUAUGCAAAGAAUAUAAGCAUUGUAAUGAAAACGGAAAAAGGGGAGAAUAUCAUUGACUAAACUUCUAUCUUUUCUUGGAGGCCUAGUACCUUGAAUACCAGAUUUUCACUCUAAUACCUAUUAUUUGGUGCUUUCAAUGACAACCUCUCAACCUUCUUCCAUAGACCUUCUCAUUGAGCAAGUGUCACAUCUCACAACUCGCAUCGACGAUCUCUCUUUAGAGGUUGCUUCCCUCAAGCAAAAACCCUUAAGCAAUCAUCGUUUUCGAAGCAAAUUCCUAAGAUUCGUUUGGACUAUCCUCGUUUUGAUGGGUCGAACGCACUAGAUUGGAUUUUUGCCGUUACUCGUUUUUUCAACUAUCACCAAACCCUAGAAGCCGACUGUCUUCAAAUUAUUUCCUUUUACAUAGAUGGUCCCACCCUCAGUUGGUUUCAGUGGAUAGAGAGAAAUCACUUCCUUCGUUCUUGGAAGGAAUUCUUACAUUUUUUGGAAACACGCUUUGCUCCAUCUCAUUUUUAGAAUGUUAAGGGACGACUCUACUAGCUUUAUCAGACUGGGUUUGUUCUACAAUAUCUUAAUGACUUUGAAUGCCUUGUAAACUGGGUUAUCGACGUUCCUCCUUCUUUUUUGCUUGAGUGUUUCAUUUCUGGUCUUCGACCAGACAUUCAACGUGAGGUGUCGCCUUCUAGCCAGUCUCAUUUUUGGAAGCGACGAAGUUAGCCAAGCUUCAAGAGGACAAAUUUAACUCUCUCGUACAGCCUCAACGGAGUUCCACUGUACCCACUCCCUAUUCUCUCCUACUGACACAACGUCUAGCUCUUCUCCCUACACCAGUUACUCCAACCGUUCCAUUUAAGCAGUUGUCAGCUUCGGAAAUGCAAAACCGUCGUGACUGUGGAUUAUGUUACAACUGUGAUGAGAAAUAUAAUCCUGGACACCGUUGCAAAUCUCGUUUCUUUCUUCUCGUGCAUGACGACGAGGAGACUAUCCCUUUCGAUCUUCCUCCCGAUGAUUCUAUUGCUUCCACUGUACUGGACUCCGCUCAGUUUAGUUUAAAUGCCUUAUCAGGACAUUUUAAUUUGAAGAUGUUUUGUGUCACAGGACAAAUAUUGGAGCAUUCUGUUCGCAUUGUCAUUGAUAGUGGAAGUUCUCAUAAUUUUCUUCAAUCUAAGCAAGCCCAGGAAUUGGGUCUACCUUUUAAAUCUACGAAAUAACUCUCGGUGAUGGUUGGCAAUGGCCAUGCGUUAACUUGCUCUCAGGUUUACACUCAAGUUCCUCUCUUAAUCCAGAAUCAAGCUUUUUUGGUGGAUUUUCAUUUAAUUGAACUAUACGGGCUUGAGGCCGUGUUGGGAGUGCAAUGGCUUCAGAGUUUGGGUCCUAUUUUAACUGACUAUGACCGACUUACCAUGCAAUUUAUUUGGUCAGGCCAGAUGGCCAAAUUGAUAGGUGAUGUUAAUAAUGUCUCUUUGCUAAUUUCGGUUCAUCAUUUGCGUAAAUUGUCGAAGUGGGGCCAUAUUGCUUAAUUUUUUCAUCUUACUGUGCUGCCGACUGUGUUAGCUUUUGUUGCGUACUUUUCUGUGACUAUAACUAAUAAUCCAGAACUAUCGACUUUAUUGAAUCGGUUUCAAUCUUAAUUUGAGGAGCCUUCCUCUUUACCCUCUGAAUGUCCCGCUAUCCAUGCUAUUACUUUAUUGCCCAACUCUGCUCCUUUGAAGGUUCGCCCAUACCAUUAUCCUUAUUUGUAAAAGCAAGAAUUUGAAGCUCAAGUAGCCUGCAUGCUUAUUUCAGGGGAGAUUCGACCUAACACCAAUGCUUUUUCAUCUCCGGUCCUCUUGGUUAAGAAGAAGGAUAAUACUUGGCGAUUUUAUGUUAACUACAGGGCUUUGAAUGCCAUCACUAUUCCAGAUAGUUUUCCCAUACCCACCAUUCAUGAAUUACUAGAUGAAUUGGGAGUUGCCAUUUAGUUUUCCAAAUUGGAUUUACUACCAUUUGGUAUUUUGAAUGCGCUCAUAACUUUUCAGGCCACCAUGAAUGCCUUAUUUCGACCGCAUCUGCGUAAAUUUAUUAUCGUUUUUUUUUUAUGACAUAUUGAUCUACAACACUACAUGGGAGGAUCAUUUAUUACACUUGCGAAUCACUUUUAAUUGUUUUAUGCCAACCACUUUUACUUUAAACAAUCCAAAUGUUCAUUUACUUUACAACAGGUUGAGUAUUUGGGACAUGUGGUAAGUGCUGGAGUGGUAGGUCCGGAUGCUUCUAAAAUUGAGGCAAUGUUACAGUGGCUACCACCUACCUCUGUGAAAGCAUUGAUAGGAUUCUUAGGUGUAAUGGGAUUUUAUUACAAAUUCAUUAAAGGCUAUGCUACUUUGGCCUCUCUGCUCACAGAUUUACUUCGUAAGGAUGCUUUUCAUUGGUCUUCUGAAGCUCAGUUAGCUUUCGAUAAGCUGAAGCAUGUGAUGUCCACAGCCCUAGUCUUGGCUCUACCGGAUUUCUCGAAGCCUUUUGUUAUUCAAUCAGAUGUGUCUGGCAUAGCUAUGGACGUGGUUCUCUCUCUCAAGAUCAACGACCAAUUGCUUUCUUUAUUAAAAAAUUUUGCUCUCGGAUGAUACAACCAUCUACGUAUUUACGAGAGCUGCAUGCCAUAACUACCGCCAUUAAAAAGUGGCGACAAUAUUUCUUGGGACAUUUUUUCAUCAUCCAAACUGAUCACAAACCCCUAAAAGAUUUGUUGACGCAAAAUGUGCAGACUCCAGAGCAGCAAUUUUAUGUGAGUAAACUCAUUGGAUAUAAUUAUACGAUUCACUAUCGUGCUGGUAGUUCCAAUGUGGCUACCUAUGCUCUUUCUCGAAUUAUUGCAGAGGAUAAUUUGGGUCAUUCUUAUGUCUUCACUAUCCCUCACUUUCAAUUUUUGGAAGAAUUAAAGGAUAACUUACAGGGUGAUGUUAGUUUUACUCAACUUUUACAGGAUAUAAAUCAGGACUCUGCUGCUUUUUCAGAUUAUAAAUUGAAAGAUGGAUUGAUCUUUUAUAAAAAUUGAAUCUGGUUGCCUGCUACGUCUCCCUUUCGUGAGACCCUGAUGAGAGAAUUUCAGGCAACCGCUUUGGGUGGGCACGUGGGUCUUAUUAAGACACUUCAUCGAUUGCAAGAGAAUUUGUUUUGGCCCUUUAUGACUAAGGAUUUGAAGACUUUCAUUCGCAACUGUGUGGUGUGCCAACAAAUUAAAUAUUUACCUCCAGAAACCAGCUGGGUUGCUUCAACCUCUUCCAUUGCCACAUCAUGUUUGGGAAGACUUGGCCAUGGAUUUUAUUACCUGCCUUCCAUCUUCGCAUGGGCACACUUCCAUUUUGGUGGUUGUUGACUGUUUCUCCAAAGCAGCCCAUUUUGCUACUCUUCCUACACAGUUUUCGGCAUAUCAAGUGGCUAGACUUUUCUUUGAUGUCGUGGGCAAACUACAUGACAUGCCAAAGAGUAUUGUUUCUGAUCGUGACCCUUUAUUCCUCAGUAAGUUUUGGCAAGAAUUGGCAAGAAUUAUUCAAAGCUAGUGGGACACAAUUGCGGAUGUCUUCUUCUUAUCACCCAGAGACUGAUGGACAAUUGGAGGUUGUAAAUCGAACUCUUGAGCAAUAUCUGCGUGCUUUUUGUAAUGCACAACCAAUCAAAUGGAGUCACUUCAUUCCCUGGGAAGAAUGGUGUUAUAACACAACUAUCAAUUCAACAACUGGAUACACCCCAUUUGAAAUUGUCUAUGGAUGAUCUCCUUCUUCUUUUUCCGGGAUAUAUAUUAGGUCAAUCACAAGUGGAGGUUAUUGAUCAUUUACAUAGCUCAUGGGAUAACAUUAUAUCCACUUUACGUCGAAAUUUACAAAAGGCUCAGGCACGUAUGAAAUCAAUGGCUGACGUUCAUCAUCGUGAGGUUCAAUAUGAGGGGGGAGCGUGGGUUUAUGUCAAACUCAGGCCAUAUCGCCAAACUUCGCUUGCCGAAAAGACUCCACAGAAAUUGGAAAAACGUUAUUUUGGACCAUUUCAAAUUCUUAGUCAGAUCGGCCCGGUGGCCUAUCGAUUGGCCCUUCUUGAGACUUCAAAAAUCCACCCUGUAUUUCACUGUUCUGUUUUGAAACCACAUCUUGGAGCUCCACCUUCAGUAGCUGGCACGCUUUCGUCAAGUAAUUAUAAUAAUGGUCCUUUACUUAGUCCAUUGGUCAUCUUAGGAACAUGUGAGAAUAAUUCCAAUUUGCAAGGACUCUAUCCUGAGGAAGCCACUUGGGUGGAUAUGCAACGUACUUUCAACCUUGAGGACAAGGUUCUUAUGCAAAGUUCAAGGAAUGAUACAAUAGGCAGUUAGGAGGAUAUUGGGUCAAUUGAAAGUGCUAGUGUUAGGCCGAAAAGAAAUAUUAGGAGACCUCAGUUUGGGAUGACUAUGUGCACUGAGAGAGAGAGAGAGUAGUAUGUUGUUUUGUGAGAAUCUUUUAUGUUAGAACCUUUUUCUUAUUGUGUUUACGUGGUUACCAUGAUAUAUGGAUAAACUGUUAGUAUAUGCAGAGAAUAUAAGCAUUGUAAUGAAAACGGAAAAAAAGGGAGAAUAUCAUUCACUAAACUUCUAUCUUUUCUUGGAGGCCUGGUACCUCGAAAACCAUAUUUUCACUCUAAUACUGUCGCAACCGGAAUCACGAUGGGACGACGAUCCAAAAAAGAAAACGGAUUUUGAAAAUGUUUUUUGGAGUCGCCACCAUAGUUUAUUUUGGAAAACUACGGAAAAACCAUAAAAUGAUAAAGCACGGUCCACGAAAACCAAAUAUUGGGUUCGGGAGUCGGUUACGUGUAAGGAAGGUAUUAGCACCCUACAACGCCUGCCCGAAGGCAGUACCUUUAAUUAAAUACGUGAAUAAAGAUGUGGUUUGCAAAAUGUUUAACUAUCCCAAAAAGAAAAAUUUUAAAGGAACAAAAUAUAUUUUUUUUAUUUUUUUUUUGCCCAACAAGGAUUGACCUUGCUCCUACAUAUUCUCAAAAUGAGAAAUCAGGGUUACGUAGUUCUGGCUGAAAAGUUGUUUGCUGUUUGAAAAUGUGAAUGUUUUAUAUUUUUGGUAUAUUUUUUUAUGUGAGAAAAAAGAAAAGGUCUCAGCAUGAGGACGAUGCGUGCGAUCACACACGUGCUUAAACCUUUAAAACAUAUAUUUUUUUAAUUUUUAUAAAAGGAGAAAAGGUCUUAGCACGAGGACGAUGCGUGCGAUCACACACGUCCUUAAGCCUUUAAAACAUAUAUUUUCUUCAUUUUUAUAAAAGGAGGAAGGGUCUUAGCACAAGGACAAUGCGAGCGAUCAAACACGUGCUUAAACCUUUAAAACAUAUUUUUUAAUUUUUAUAAAAGGUGGAAAGGUCUUAGCACGAGGACGAUGCAUGCGAUCACACACGUGCUUAAACCUUUAAAACAUAUGUUUUUUUUAAUUUUUAUAAAGGAAGAAAAGGUCUUAGCACGAGGACGAUGCGUGCGAUCACACACGUGCUUAAACCUUUAAAACAUAUUUUUUAAUUUUUAUAAAAGGAGGAAAGGUCUUAGCACGAGGACGAUGCGUGCGAUCACACACGUGCUUGAACCUUUAAAACAUUUUUUUUUUAUUUUUAUAAAGGAAGAACAAGUCUCAGCACGAGGACGAUGCGAGCGAUCAUACACGCGCUUAAACCUUUAAAACAUUUUUGGAUAUUUUUAUUUUAUAAUUUUUAUAUUUUUAUCUUUCAUUUUUGUAAUUUUUACUAUAGAAAGUUAUAAGAAUAAUAAUUAUAUUUACAUAGGAUUUAAUAAAAAUUAUAUUGGCCUAAGUUUUUAAAAUAAAACGAUAACGUAAUAACGAUAUUUACAUAAAGAGAAAUAACGCAUAAAAUAGAAAACAAAUUAAAACUAUAUUUUUUUGUGAUUUUUAUAACAUAAAAAAGGGUAAGUAAAAGUUUAAAAUAUACAAUAAAAUUAACGCAUAAUAAUGAGACAAUUGGUACAGUGAACAAAAACGUAUGCAGUGAGAAUUAAAAACGUGUAUGUGGUGAUCAAUAUGUAACAAACAAAAACAAGAAAAAAUAUAAAAUAAAAUAACAUAAAAAUAAGGAUGUGGGGUUAAUAAUUAUAGGAUACGCGAAGACAAUAAUAGGAAAACACACAUUAUAAUUUAGAAAAUAAAAAUAAGGUUGCAGAAAAUAAAAUCGAAGAGAAAAGGGUGUAGGUGAAAAACUGGGGUAUUGCACAGAAUAUUUAACCCAAGCCUACAUUCUUCAAGAAACCAUAGGUUUCUUCUGCCUCUUCUUCUUUUUCUUUGUUCUCUUAUGUUCUCUUUUCGAAAUUCGAUUAUUUUCCUCUUUUUUUUCUAUUCCCUUAUGCUCUCCUUCCGAAGUUCAAUUCUCUCUUUCUUUUUCUUGUUUACAAGGUGCAUAUUUAUAUGCACACAUUGUAAUAUUAUUGUGAUCUUGCCUUAAUGACGAAUUAAUUGACAAUUAACAAAACAAGGAAAGAGAUGGUCUAAUAAAUCAAAUUAUAAUAAUUGUCAGAAAAUUAUCCAUUAAAAGGAAAUCAUGUUUUUUCUUUUUAGGAAGAAACUGAAUGCAGCAAUCAAUAUAUUAUUUUUAAUUAUUGCUUAAAAUUACUGGCAUAAUGUUGAUUCAAAUUAUUAUCAAAUAAAACAAAAUUCCAAAAAAAAAUUCUAAAGUGAUCUAUCAUGCAUUAAUAUUAAUUGCUUAUGGGCAUUUUUCCAAGGAAAUCAAAUCCAAUUCAUCACGUCCAACACCUCUCUCAUUUUAUUCACGUGCACUCCCCUUUUCUUUUUUCCCUUCUUCCUUAUUUCCUUUUGUUUUUCUUUUUCGUUUUUUCUCUUCUUUUUUUUUCGUUUCUUUUUUCUUUUAUUUUUUGCUUUUAUUUUUCAUUUCUUUUUUUCUUUUAUUAUUUUUUUCUUUUCUUUUCUUUUUUUGUCCUUUUUUUUCAAAAUGAAUAUAAAAAAUAAUAAUAAAGAAAACUAAAUCAAAUAGCAAAUAGUAAAAAUAAAAUAAGACAAAAAUAAAAACAAGUCCUAUUAUUUAGUCACCCGGACGAAAUUAGGUAUUAACAAAUACCUAUCAGUAACACAAUGUAAAAAAAACUUUAUUAAGAAGAAACGAAAAUUACAAAAGAAUGUACCCAACAAAACGCCCAAUCGAAGCCACCACGGGCUGUCACCCCGUGAGUGUUUACUUCAAAUGCAACGAAAACGAAAAUCUACUCAAUAGAAAGCGUAAAAAAAUACCCAAUCUACAAAGCGUAAAACUGUGUAUCUGGAAGUGUCUAAGGUAUGUAAAUUAUGUACAUGAGAAACCCCUUUAUAUAGGGUUGAAGAAAGAAGAAAAAAGAAGAAGGAAACUUUUUGAACCUUGCUCGCUUGAAUCUUCCUUUCUAUGCUUCCUCCCCAUCAGACGACUCUCACUACUUCUUCAACUUCAGCCCUUCGAUCACUCGAGCUUCGUCUUCUCUGGUUACGGGCAGUCUCCACCUCGCCGGUUUAGUGGUACAAGCCAUUCAAGCUUUCCUCUCUUCGUCUCUUGUCGCCCAAGCUCUAGGGUUCCUUUCUCUUUCUCCUCAAAAUGAAUUUCUUGAGCACCUUUGCAAAUGAAAAUAAGGAGAAGAGACCCCUAUGGCAGUAGCAGCUCUAGCGCCAAAACGCUAGGUUCCAUUGAUUGAGAGUCCAAUUUCACUUCUGAACCAAUUCGCCAAACGCAGUGACCCAAAUCCAACCCAAUUUCUUCCAUUUAAUCUGUCCAGCAACACCCCAUUUACUUGUGUUGAUUAGGUUCUUCAGAUGCAACAUUGAGGUAUCAGCAGUGUGCCUAAUUCAGGUAUAACCAACCCAACUAUCCAACCAGUGGCCCGAUCAAAUUUGCAUUAGUUGUAACGCCUCAAAACGACACUGUCUUCACUAAGACACAGGCCCAAUAGCACAUCAGAGCAAUGGCCCAUUCUUCUAAUGCAGCAAAAAAUUUAAAUUUCAGCAUUGGCCUAGUAUUGCUUCUGCUGACAUGCUCAAUCUAAUUCAGAUGGGCCUAAAAUCUCUCUUGCAGUAGUCCAAAUUCAAGUGUGGCAGCAACUUGGCUUCUCUAACAACAAUGAGGGCUCAAUCUACACAAAAAUAUAGGGGUCAAUCAACAAACAAGAGAAAGAAGAAAAAAAUUAUACAAUUAAAAUCUAAUUAAAAAAACAUUUUUAUUAAAAGAUUUUUAAAAAAAUAUUAAUUUUCUAAUUAUUUACAAACACUAAAAAUACUCCUAAAAACCUAUUUUUAACUACAAUUCUAUAAAACUAAAGAAUUAAAGGAAAAACCUAAAACUAUCCUAAUUUUAAGCAAUUAAAAACUAAAGAAUCCUAAGAAAAGAUUUUUAACCUAGAAAAAUAUGCAAAUAUAGAGUGUUAUCACACUACAAUUCCCUUGCACUUCUAUUAUUUCUUCUUCAAUGUAGUUUCUCUUCUUGGUUAACAAAUCCUUCAUGAAUCUUACAUAUGAAGGCAUUUGUUGAAGUGCUUUAGAAAAAGGAAUUGUAAUCUCCAACUUCUUGAAAAGAGCCAUAAAUCUAGAGAAUUAGCUUUCCUUUUCCUUCCUAGAUAAGGUCUUGGGGGUAAGGUAAAGGCUUCAUAAUUUGUUUUCCGUUAUGACUCUCUCCCUCAUCUUUCUCUUCAACUUCCUCUUCUUUCUCAACAUUGACAUCUUUUUUCUUAUCCUCUUUCCUUACAACUACACCAUCCAACACCUUACCACUCCUUGUAGUGACAGCCUUGCAACGUUCUUUAGGAUUAGGUUCAGUGUUUGCUACAAAAAUAUUCUCAGGUUUAUCUUCCAAUUUCUUAGCCAAUUGGCCAAUUUGAACUUCUAAAUUCCUAAAGGAAGAUUUCGUGCUCUUUGAUUAGACAUGGACAUUUGCAUAAAUUGACGAAGAAUCUCUUCAAGUUUAAAUGUCCUGUCAUACAAAUAUGGUUGUUGUUGUUGUGGUGGUCUAUUAGAAGAACUAGUUUGUCCUAUACUAGGAUGACGUCUCCAUCCUUGUUUAUAAUUGUCAUAAUUUCCUUUACGACCCUGAUUUCCCAUAUAAUUCACCUCAUCCUUAGUAGUGGACUGAACAACACAUUGUCCAUUAAGAUGAUCAGCACCACAUAAUUCACAACCUUGCACGACUGGUAGAUGUUGAGCUUGAGAUACAUUUUCAAGUUCUUUUGGUAAUUAGGAAAGUUUCUUCAUUAACGAUUCCAACUGUUGAGUCAUAAUUUUAUUCUGAGCCAACAAUGCAUCUUGGGAUUAAAGCUCAAACAUACCUUUCUUUUGAGGUUGACCUCUCUUACUUUGCACAUCAUUAUCACUAGCAGUCAUAUUUUCAAUUAAUUCAUGGGCUUCAUCAGGUGUCUUCCACCUAAUAUUACCUCUAACUGAGGCAUCUAACAUUAAUUUAGUGCGAGAUUUCAAUCCUCCUAAGAAAAGGUUAAGUUGAGUAGGGAUAUCAAAUCCAUGUAUAAGGGCUUCCUUAUCAAUCCUUUAAAUAUAUCCCAAGUUUGACUCAAUGACUCCUCAAGUUCUUGUUGAAAAGAUUAAAUCUCUUGCUUUCCUUUGUUAAUUUUGGAUUGAGGAAAAUACUUAUGCAAGAAUUUUGCCACAACAUCCUCCUAAAUAGUUAGACUCCCUUCCCGAAAAGAAUUUCACUAGAGUUUGACAUUACCAGCCAAAGAGAAAGGAAAAAGGCUAAGUCUUAUUGCCUCAUCUGACACAUGAAGAAUUUUCACAGUAUUACAAAUCUCCAAAAAAUUGGCCAGAUGGGUAUAAGGAUUUUCAUGUGACAAACCAUUGAAUUGAUUGCUUUAAACAAGAUGAAUCAAAGUUGGCUUCAUUUCCAUAUGAGCAUAAUUUACCACUGGACGGGCUACGCUAUUAAAAUUUGAAGGUAUUGAAACCGAAGCAUAGUCCUCCAAAGUACGUCGAACUCUAUCUUAUCCUUCAUCCUGAUUUCCUACCAUUUCCUUGUCUUCUAGAUUAGAAGAAGAAAGAAUGUUUGAGGUAGAACUUAAGCUAGCUUCCCUAGCUGUUUUUUUUUUUUUUCUAUUUUCUCUCCUAAAUCUAUUGUUAUUCCUACGUGCUGUUUUCUCAAUUUUAGAAUCAAACAACAAAUUUUCAGCUUUUGUUCUACUUCUCAUGCAGAACAAACAGCACUAUGAAGCAACUAAAGCAAAUAACUAAAAACAAAAUACAACCUAUCCACAAAAGUUAAAAGACAAUGGAUAUAUACAAAUAAUGAAACAAAAUUGAAAUUGGUAAACAAUCAAACAAUUGGACUAACAGUAACAAUCAAAUUCCCCGACAACGGUGCCAAAAACUUGGUAACCUUUUUGGCAAGUAUACCAAAUCGUUUCAAGUAGUAAAAGUAAGUACAAAGUAUCGUUUUCCCAAGGGAAUUGAAUUACAUUGUCUAAUUGAAUUUAUUUACCAAAAGCAAUUUAGUACUGAGAGCAAUUUGAUUCAUGAAAUUUUAAACUGAAUAAAAUUAACACUAUAUUAAAAUUCACUAUUGAAAAUUUAAAAGAAAGUUUCAUUAGAAUUGGGUUCCUGAAUCACGUUACAGUAACAUUCUAUACAAUAUUUCAUACGUUCAAACAUUCACAUCACUGUAUACUUGGUUCAAUUGCUCAAAUCAAGUUCUAAAGAUAUAUGUUAGUUAUUAAUCCCUUAAUUCACUUAACAUAUAAAUUCACAAUAUAAUCUUAUGCUUAAGAAUGACUAACAUAUAUUCCUAACUUCGUUCAUUUUGGUUACUCUUUCUUAUGUCAACAAAUAAUUUCACUUUCCAGUAAUCAUAAAUGUUCAAAAUUUCAUUAUAUUCCUAUAUAAUGAUAAGAAAAUAAAGAAGAGCAUUUAAACACAAAAUAUAUUGAACAUGAAGAUUACUGGUGGACUGUCGCAGUCCACACAAAUUUGAUUGCAAAUUAUAAAUGCAGUAUAGCUAGGGAAUGACCCCUAGGUCGUCUCCCAAGGACCAAUUUCGCGGUUCAAGAAUCGAGUCUAACACGAAAAGGGAGGGGGGGUUUGUGAAAAUGGUUUUGCAAAAAUUAAAGAAGUCAAUAAAGACAUAGAUGCAAACAAACUAAGUUAAGCUAGCAUGGUAAUUAAACUAACAUUAUUAAAAACCUUAGACAACAUUCAAACAAAAUAAAAUAAAAUACUAGACCCCAACAAGACAACAAACAACUACCUAACACAGUUAAAUUAAAUUAAAUGCAAAACUAAAUUAGAGAAACUAAAAAGCAACUAAUCCUACUAUAAAAUUAAUUGAAAACAAAGAAAUAAACACACAUGCCUUUUCCUCUAUCAAUUAUGUGACAAUACAUGCACCAACUAAAGAAAAUUCAAUUCUUGGAAUGGCCUAAAAACCUCAUGGUCGUGACCUCCCAAGCACACCAACUCCAAAUUUGCUUUCUUUCUUCAAAUAACAAUUGAAUAAUGUUUUCCUUCUCCCAUGUGCUCCAAGAAAGUGUUUUCUUCUACUUUUUACCAUAGAAAAUCAUGUUCAUCUCACUCCCCAAAAGACCAAAACCGUUUUCUCUCUCUUCCAAAGCAAAAAGCAACAUUUCCUUAAAUGGUCCAACACAAAAGUGGAAUUUUUCUAUCAAUGUGCCACAUGUACAUGGUCAAAGGGAAUUAAACUAAAGAAAUGCCUUCUCCUCUCCUCUUAAUGCACGGACAUUGCUCACCAAACAACAAUUCACAAUUCAUAUUCUCUCCAAAACCCAACACACUCCCCUUCCUUCAAAUCAAAUGAAAAUUCCAAAAGCAAUGCAACCUUGGAGACCGUGUGCCUUCCAACAAUCACCAUAACACCUUCAUUCCAAUAUCCAAGUGCAAAAUGAAAUUCUUCUACAAUGGAAUCCCUGUAUUAUUGGUUCAACACCCAAAAAGCAACCCAAUAAAUCUCUUCCUUCCAAUCUUCAAAUACCAAAAGCAUACAAGUCAACCUCUCAUUCCAUAAAAGCAAAAACAUCUUUUGUUCUUCAUUUCACGGCUGAAAUGGGUGCAGCACAAAACAACUUCAUCUCACCAAACUACUUGCAUCAAUCAAAGUAAAAUGCACAAGAAGAAAAGGGGUUUAGCUCAAACAAUCAUGAAUCAACUCAAACUUUCUUCACUCCAAAACUCAAUAGGAACCAUAUUCUUUUUCAUUCAACAAGGGAAACCAAAAUAUAAUCACUUGAAUGGUGCAGCAAAGAGGAAACGAAAAUGAAAAUUGGGUCUUGGUUCAACCGAAGAAACCACCAUGAAAAUGAAAAGAACCACCUCCAAGCUCAAGCUUUCAACAUUCAAAUGAACAAUGCAAGAAGAGGAGUGAUAGAUCUCCCUUCCAUUAAGCAAGAAUAAGUAAAGUUGCAAGCAAGAGAAGAAGAAAAAUAUGUUCUUGAUUCAAUCCAUGCUCAAAACCGUAAGGGCACACCAAAGCUCCCAAGAGAGAGUUCAUACAAGGCAAAGCAAAAUGAAAGUUUAGUAUGAAGUGUGCUUGGAGUGUGUCUCGGCAAUCACACUUGAAAAUGCCGUCCCACACAUAAAAUGAUGGGGUCCACCUCCUAAAAUGAAACCCUAGCCUAAAGCCAAGUGUCCCACACAUUGAGCUUCUACAAAAUUUCCACUAAAAGGGCCCAAAAACACCUAAUCUAAUUAAGAUUUCUAAAAAAACGAAAUUACAACUUUAUUAAAAUGGAAAUGACUAAAUGUUGAGUCUUGAAUGAUCAUGCCACCAUCCCUAAUGCUCCAAAUGAUGUUUCCCAAAAUUUCCUUGCAACCAAAAUACACUUAAUCAACUCAGAAAACCCAAAUUAGCACAAUUACGAAUUUCCGACCAAAUUAAGCAGAAUUCGGAAAACGGAGAAAAAACAGACAAUUAAACACAAUUCCCUGGUUUAUUUAAGUGCAAUAAACUAAAUAUAGUUCAAGAAAUAACCACUCAUCAAUUACAUAAAAUGAAUUCAGUACAUUCAAUUUCAAUGAAGCUUUACUUUACAUUUUUAGUAGUAAAUUUUAAUAUAAUGUUAAUUUUAUUCUGUUUAAAAUUUCAUGAAUCAAAUUGCUCUCAUUACUAAAUUGCUUUUGAUAAAUAAAUCAAAUUAGGCAAUGUAACUUAAUUCCCUUGGGAGAACGAUACUCUAUACUUAUUUUUACUACUUGAAACGAUUUGGUAUAAUUGUUAAAAAGGUUAUCAUUGGGUUACACUUAUUAAAUAUCAUUCCUAAUCCACUUGUUUUAUAGAUAAUUUUGUAUUAUGGAAGUACCUCUAGGAAUUUAAAGAGCUUAAGCAGUCACAGGAGCAAGCAAAACAACAAAAAAGAAGGGUUUUGAAAUGUUGGUUCUCGGGUAUAGCUGCAAUUGAGCGUCACUUGCCUCGACUUUCUACAGUUGGGGCACAACUGAAUGUCAUUCAUCUCGAUUUUCUACUGUUGGGGUGCAACUAGGCUGUAGCUGAGUGUCAUUAGCCGCUAGGGUGCAGUUAAACGUCAAUUAUGCUAUUUUGGGCGUGCAUAUAUGGUUUUUAAAGUUUGAAAAUGCGAAGGGAAAUGGUCUUUGAGGGUUUAAAGGUGCGAUAUCACUCAGAGGAGGACUAAAAAGGCUGCUAGGGUUCGUGAGAACACUUGCUUCCUCCUCAUGGGUUCCUUUUCUUCUUCUUCCAUGACCAUUUGGUCUCAACUUCAUGAAGUUCCGACCCAUCUUGCUUCUUAUGUAAACUCCUCGCACAACAAUCACUAUUCUUCUAAAACAAAUAGAAAUCCAACCCAUACUCCAAAACUCAUAAACACACAACCACAACAACACUUCUAACUCUCUCACUCACUCACUCGUCUCUUCCAGUAACCGGAAGAGAAAACUCACCCCCUCACACCCCACACACUCUAGAUUUAAAGUAUAGAAAUGUACCCCGCAUGGAAAGCAUAGGAACAUGGAAUGAAGGGUUCCAAACAUAUCAAAGAAACACGAUUAUAUAUAUAUAUUCAUACAUGAAACACAACAAAGAACAAAAAACAUGCACACUUUCACACUCACCACAAGUUUUAAAAUACCCAUGAUAUAUACUUUGCAUGUCAUACCAGGAGAAACUCAUGCAAGCACCUCAUCAUGCAUAUAUAAUAUAGCUUUAAACUAAACCCCACCUUUCACAAAAUUUAUAUACUCAUGGUUCUUCCCUCACAUACAACAACAAAACAUAAGCCUAAGCAACCACCAUCAAGUAUUCAUACAUAUUAUAGAUUGAAAGUAACCCCACCCCUCACAAAAUAUAUUCCAGGGUUCCUCCCUUUACCUUUAGUUGUAGAGAAUUUUCCAAGGGUUCUUUGAUUGCAAAGUUUCCUCUCCUCUUGUUGCAACACCAAGGUCACUCCACACCUCUUGGUUCCUCUCCAACACACAAUUAAGGGUAGCAAAAUUAGAGACCUCUUCUCUCUCACAAAUGCUCUAUUUGGUGUUAAAGUAAGGGUAAGGUUUCACUCUCUUACGGUUUCAAAAUUUAACACCCCUGCCAAAAGGCUUCUCCAAAGCCAAAACAAUAACUUGCACCAUGCACCAACCGAGGGAGCAUAAAACCACAAAGGCCCAAAAAGUGACGUCACUUAAACUUAUGGGCCCAAAAAGUCUCACUAAUGAGCUUUUGCUUUCUGCAACCCCAUUGCCCAUUAUUACUAACUGCUGACAAUAAAAGAUUAAAAUAUCCUCUUCACCACCAGAAAAAAAAAAUCAUUUUAAAAAUUUUUUGUUCAGAAUAUUUAUGUGUUUUGAAAACUUUAUUCUAAAAAAUAUGUUUUGGAAAAUAUGGGUUUUGAAACUUCUUAUUAUGAAAAUCUCAUUUAAAUAAUUUUAUUUAUGAAAAUUGUAUUUCAAAAAUUGUCUUCAAAAAAAUUUGAAAACUUUGUUCUAGAAAAUUUACAAAAGAUAAAAUAUGGUUACUUUAAAAAUUAUUGGGGUGGCAAAUAAUUAUUGGAAUGGAGGAAGAAAAGGCCAACCUGUGCUAAAUUUUAAGCUUUGUUUGGUACAUUUGAAAUACCGGAGAAAUUGAGAGAGAAAAAAAUAGUUAGGAAUCGGAAAUUCUUUUAUUGAAGAAAAUUAGAGAAAAGAGAAAUUGAAAAAGGCUAAGUUUUACAUUAAAAAUAGUAAAAGAAAACAAUGAAAAACGACUUACAUUACUGGGGACUUGUAAGUUGUAUGUCAUAAGGAAUAGUAAAUCAACUAAGCGAUACUUUUGAGUUUAUUUUGAAGAACUUUUUUAAUAAGCACUUUUAAAAGAAAAAGUUAAAAUUAAUGAUUUUAUAAAUGAAAACUGUUUUAUGCAAACUUAAAAUUAUUAUUAGUUAUAAUAAAUUAAUUUAAUCUUUUUUUUUCUAAAAGGUUUAUAAAAAAAGGUUUUCAUAAUUUUGUUUUUUGCUAGAAGAUUAAUCAUAUCACAGUCUUUUGUUAACAUUCAAUUUUGUUAAUGUACUUAUAUUGAAUCUUGAAAAUAUAUUGAUAUUAAUAUAUUAAAAAAUAUAUUUCAAGUUGUAUUAAAUGUAUUUUAGAAUCCAAAUUAUGAAAGUUUGAAAUUUAUAAUUAAGUUUGUAAUUUGAAUUCAUGCGUACGAGUCUCUCUAUACAAGAAAAAUUCUCUAUCUUUUGUUGAAUAAAAUCUAUUUAUUAUAUAUUUUUCAUGUCUUCCUUUUAAAUUUUUUUUCUCAAAAUUUAAAAUAUAUCUACCUUCAUAAAAUUUAAAAAAUGACAUAAUUAAUAAAGGACCAUUUAUUAAUCAACUACUAAACUAACAUAACCUCAACCAACACGAAAGUUUACCUAAAAUGACCUAUUUAUAUAAAUAAUUAGAUUUGACCUUGAUACUUCCAUAAAACCUACCACACAGAGUGGGUUCAAUCUAUUUAAAAUUCUUGUAGAUGUUAAAGGGUUUAUCAUUGUUUUCUUCAAACUUUGAAUUGUUGGAGAACUUACACUUUAAUAUUCACAAAGUGAUAUAAGAACACGAGAAUCUAAAUAAAUAUUUAAUUACAUUUUUUAUUCUCAAUAACUUUUGUAAUAGUUUGAUUUUAGUUUUUCAAAUUUUUAUUUUUUCACUUAAAUUUGUUAGAUAUUACAAAUAUGUAACUAGUGAUGUCAAAACGGCACCCAGCUCAAUCUGGUCUGGCCCACUAUGGGUUGGUCAUUUAGCGAAUCAACCUAACUCAAUUCAUUUAUUAGCGAGUCAGAAAAAUUUGAACCCGGCUCGACCCACCAUGAGUUAGUGGAUUAAACGGGUUGGCUCACUAGCUUACUUAAUUAUAAUUUUUUUAAAAUAAAAAAAAAAUUUCAAACUUUUUGUAAUUCAAAUCUAAAUAAAUUUCACUUCCAAAAUGAUAUUAAACUCAAGAUAAUUCAAAAUAAUAAAAAAAGUACAAUACAAUCCAUGUAUAAUAAGUCAUAUGGUAUUUUUGAGGGUUUCAUAAGAUACUAAAUUAAUAAAAUAAAAUUAGGUGGGUUGGUGAGCCAACCCGGCUCACCACGGGUUCAACCCGGAUAAACCGGGUUUAAAUGAGUCGGAUUAAAAGUUGACCCGCAUAAAAAAAUAUAUUUUUUUCAAACCCAACUUGGCUCGAACCUGUGGUGGGCCGGGUUAACCCGCGGAUUGUAACCCAUUUUGACAGUUUUAUAUGUAACUUUAGAGCAAUUUCAAUACAAUAUGUUGCUGAAAAUUUUGACAAGAGCCUUGUGACAUAUUGUUCUUCAUUUUAACUAUUAGAGUCGUCUAUUGGAGGUUUGUGGUUAGAGAAAUUAGUUUCGUAUUAUUGCUCUACAUUAAGUUUCUCUCAUUUUGUUCUUCAUAUUUGAGAACAUUAUACAUUUAAUGUAUUGGUUGCUUAUCCAUAUUUGUUUGUUUUUUUAUCUGACUCUUUUGUAUCCAUAUCUGAUCUUAGAGAAGCUUAAUUGACUGACUUGUGCUUGUGAGUUCUUACUUCUACUAUUGAGAAAAUUUUCUCACAUUAAAAAUAUGAGAGUUCUUAUUUUCAUUGCACACGUUGGUAUUUUUGGUUGUUGUGUUGUUGUUUCUCCCAUCAUAAUGACAUCAAAGCUCUUUGAUUUGGGGUUGUAUUUACUUGCUUGAAUGAUGAAGGCAAAUACAAAGAUGAUUACUUUAAAUGGCACACAUUAUUAUUUGUGGAAACGUAAGAUGAAAGGCAUAUUGUUUGUAAAACAAUUGCAUAUAAGGUUGAAGAUCCAUUAACCCAUUACCUUAAAGUUUUAGGUAGAGAGUGAUGUCAAUUCCUUAUGUGAUUGGACUCAGAUCUCAUUGAUGUUAUAUAUUGUUAUGAUGUGUAGAAAAUAAAUUUGUUAAAGCUUUAUCUCCAACUACAACCCUAGAUUUAAUCCUAUAACAUAAAUGAGAAAACACCACAUAAGGCUUAUUAGACUUAAACAGUGAGGGAGAACUCUCGUAUGUUCUGCCUGUUAUUUGGCUCAAGGGGCAACCAUGUAGUUCUUUUUUUACCGUUGAAUGUUAUAAAAAGUAUCAUUAGAUAACUGUAUGAUGUCUUUGUAUGCUUUUCAAUUUGCAAUGCCAAAGGAAUGAGAAGUAUCCUUCUUUGUUCAUGCUAAGUUUUUGCGUAAGUAUAUAAGCAGUCAAAUUCUCACACAAGAUGGAUGCUACAUGACAAUGAUAACUAAAAUGCUCAAUCAAAUAAAAGAUGUUUGUUUGUAUAGUUCAGUCGUGAGAACUUAGAGAACAUAUCACUCAUGCUCAGGAUUCAGAUUCCUUGUUUUUGAAAAUUCCCGAACCACUUUUCCUCCUCCAAUUCAUUUUUAUUCAUAAAACAAAAGCUUGAAGAGCUUUGUCCAAAAAGAACGAAAAAUAAACAGAAGAGGUAUUAACAGCUAAAUGAGAUCUUUAUGGAAAAACAUGUAAGAGUACGGUGGUGACUGGUUUUGUCCAUCACGUAUAUGAUGGUGAAUUCUAUAUAUAAGUCAAUGAUUAAAUAAUUUAAGUUUAUACUUUUAUAUCACUUGAAAUUCUUUGAUAUCAUAUAAGGUUUAUACAGUGAAACUAAAUUUAACACGACUCUAGUUUAAGUUAAACAUAAGUAAUUUAGUUGAGAUCCAUUUAAAAAACCAUCAUUGUAUAUGAUAAAAUAUUUUUAAAAAACUUUAUUUUGUAACUAAUUGAAAUAGUCAUAAUGUUUUAAUUAUUAAUUGAUAAACAUAAGUGAAAAGAUAAAUCACUGAAACUAUAAUUAGGCUUAUAUGAAUAGCCAUAAAUGAUCCUUGAUUAAAAAAACACCUCAUUGAUUAGAUCUUUCUUUUUUCUGCUGAAAUAUAACCAGUAAAUAACACUAUUGCAUAUACACAUUCAAUAAAACAACCAAGAACAUUGUGUAUGGGUUGGCGAAAAAACCCGUACCCGUGAAUAUUCGUGGGUAAAAUUCGCUUCAGAUAUUUAAUACCCGCAAAUACUCACUUGUUAACGGGUCGGGUUUGGGUAUCACAUUAUUCAUACCUGCAGGUACUUGUUAUCCGUUUAAAAAAUAAAAUUAUAAUUUUAACUAAUAGGUUUUUUGUUUAAAAAAUAAAAUUAUAAUUUUAACUAUUCUAACUCUUCAAUUAGGUUUCAAUCUACUGGAAAAAUAAAAAUUGGCAAAAGCCAAAAUUUUUUUAGGGUUUUCUUCCUCAGAAUAAGGAAAAAAGAGGUGCCCCCAUUUCUUCUUGUUAGCUACAAUGCCGUUACAGACUGUAAAUCCUUGCUCGAUCACGUGCGGUUGCCCGAUCUCAAUGGUCGUCAAAACGCGGAGGCGUCGAAGCGGAUCAGAAGCAGAGAGGUUCAGCGUCUAGACGAAGUGAAGAUGAGGACGAAGAAGAGGAAGAUGAGGCCGAAUAAUGUCGCGGUGACGACGUCUAGGUUCAGAACUGGCGAGGGCCACCCAUGUGUUUUGAGGCACGGAGGUUCACGUGACCCAUCGAAAACUGUAUUGGAUGGGAUCAAAACAACAUUGGGGUCUGUGUUUUGGAGUUGGGCGUGUUGAUAAAUGCAACUGGAAAUGAAUGAAAGUUUGUAUGAUGAGAGUAAAGAAGGGUUUACUGGAAGGAGGACGCGACAGAGGGCAACAACUGCAAAUGGAGGAGGUGACGAUUGCUCCCUUUGAAGGGAAGACCUAGGGUUUGUGAGUUCUGAUUCUGAACAAGAAAGAAAGGAUAAUAGAGUAUUGGGUCAGAAUUUGGACUAAAGGAAGUUGGAAAACGAGUAUCCAACAAAUAUUCGUGGGUUAGAAAAAAUCCCCGAUUUUUUUUACACGAGUAUUCGACGAGUAGUAGGGCGGGUACGAGUUUGACUUUGUACUUGCGGUUCGAGUUUCGGGUAGACACUAUCCAUGCCUGACCUGACCCGUUGUCAUCUCUAAUUUUGUAUUGCUAACAAAGACAUCCACCGAACAAAUAAUUUAUCAUAGUAUUUAGUGAUAAUCAAAACACCUUUACAUGAAUGUUACACUUCAAACUAGAAAGUUUUCAUUACAAUAAUUUAUUUCUUGGUAACGUAUAAAAUUUUAAUAAAAUCUUCUCCGUUUUAGAUUAUUAAAAUAGAAUACUAAACAAAAAAAAUCCUAAUCAUGAAACUUUUGUUGCUAGUCUUUUAUGAUUUGCAGAUAUUGGCGACAUAUGGAGCAUGGCUGAUUAGUUUGUAGCCAACGCGUAAUACAUUUUCAAUGAAAGAAGUGUUGACAUGGAAGUGCGUAGCACUCAGCAUUGAGAUCGAAUUCAUCCAAGCAUAUGCAACAACAACACUCAGUCUGUAACACUAUAGAUUUCUUCAAUGUGUCAAUGGGUUUUUCGGUUGUUGGAACCGUUCUUAAAGGAUACUGUGUUGCUCCAUACAUGCUGCUAUCAGUAAAAUAAGGACCUUGUAGUUUAAGUGGAUGUGGGUGGAUGUGUUUAGUCAUGCUAAAUACGAUUUUUUUCCUCCAAAAUUUUAAUAUAUUUUUAUUUUUAAAUUUUAAUAAUCUUUUUAAUUCAAUCAGAUUUUCUUUUUCGAAUUAAACACCUUUGUUUGAGUUGUUUAUGUUUUUUAAGAUGUUUUUCUUCAAUAUUAAAUGAAAAUGUGUUUGAGAGAAAUAAAUCAUAUUUUAGAAUUAAAAGACAAAAAAGGUAAUUUUAAAAGAGAAUUUUUUAUAAAAACAUGAAUAUCAUGAAUGCAUUAUUAUGUUAUUAAAUGCACUUUUUUUUUUCUAUGCAAUAAGAUAAAAAAGAAGAAAAAUAAAAAUAGAAAUUCGAUGGAAUAAUAGAAUGAUAUGAUUCUAUUACAUAUUUAUUAAUGAAAAAGUUUUUGUUUUCAGUAGCUCAAUGAGAGUAUUAUUUUUGGACUACUGGUCAUGUGAUUAAGUCUUACUUAAUGUAUAAAAUGUUUUGGUUGUUUUAAUUAUACGUACUAUUAUUGAUGAGAAGUACUUAUAUGUUUAGUGGUAGAUGAUAUAAUUAAUUGAAUUUUAAUAGUUUAAAAGUUGAUAUUGUUAUUUGAUACUAUAGAGAAUGAGAUUCAAACCUUCAUUAGUGUGUUAUCUGAUGCUUGUGUUCUCGUGUUAACCUUUGGUGAUGUUAUACAUAAAACAUGUUAUGCAUAGACCAUUCACAGAAUGAAUGACACGUAGAUAACGUAAAAAUAUCGUCAAAGUAUUAUUAUCCUUUUGUGAAAUAUAGAAUUUAUUUGAAUGCAGGAAAAACAAGUCAAAGUAAGUCAAAGUAUAUAAAUUGGAUGUUUGAUUUUAGACAUUAUGGCUAAGAUUAUACUUUGUAUCACUUGAAAUUCUUUGAUAUCAUAUAAGGUUUAUACAGUGAAACUAAAUUUAACACGACUCUAGUUUAAAUUAAUCAUAAAAGGUAAACAAAAUAAUACUAACAUUGCUUUAACCUAUAUAUCAAAGUAAUUUAGUUGAGAUCCGUUUAAAAAACCAUCACUAUAUAUCAUUAAAAUAUUUUUAAAAAGCUUUAUUUUGUAACUAAUUCAAAUAGUCAUUAUGUUUGAAUUAUUAACCGAUAAACAUAAGUGAAAAGAUAAAUCACUGAAACUAUAAUUAGGCUUAUAUGAAUAGCCAUAAAUGAUUCUUGAUUAAAGAAACACCUCAUUGAUUAGAUUUUUUUUUUUUUUUCUGAAAUAUAACCCGUAAAUAACACUACUGCAUAUACACAUUCAAUAAAACAAUCAAGAACAUUGUGUAUUGCUAAGAAAGACAUCCAAAAAAAAUAAUUCAUCAUAGUAUUUAGUGAUAAUCAAAACAAGAAAAUUUUCAUUACACUAAUUGAUUUCUCCCUAACAUAUAAAAUUUCAAUAAAAUCUUCUCUGUUUUAAAUUAUUGAAAUAGAGUACUAAACAAAAAAUACCCUAAUCAUCACAGAGAUUGGUGACAAAUGGGGCAGGUGCGACAAAUGGGGCAGGUAUGAUUGUGAUGUAGCCAGCGCGUAAUACAUUUUUGAUGAAAGAAAUGUUGACAUGGAAGUGCAUAACACUCAGCAUUGAGAUCGAAUUCAUCCAAGCAUAUGCAACAACAACACUCAGUUUCUAAAACUGUAGAUUUCUUCAACGUGUCAAUGAGAGUUUUGAUUGCUGCAUGCAUGCAUAUUGUUAUCAGUAACAUUGAUUUCAUAAAAAAUAUGAAAUCUUAAAUUAUGAGAUUAUUGAAAAUCACUAUACAUGAACAUAAAUCGCUAUUUAUGAAACUUACCUGUUGGGGUUAGUGUUGACAUGAUUACACUCUUGAUAAAUCCUUGACACUUUCUGCCUGUAGAAUUAUAUGAUCUUUAUUCUUCUUAGUAUUUUUCUCCAGUAUUCUUAGUCUUUAUAUAGAGGGAGAUUUAUUUAUUUGUUGAAUUCAAGAUAAAGGGAAAAUGUAAUAUAUUAUUAGGAUUUGAUUUAUUUGUUGUUGAUUGAAAUUAUAUAUCUUUUAUUUUUUUUAUUAGAAUGCUAUUUUUAUAGUUUGAUUUUAUAUUGUUUAAUUAAAAUUUUAUCUUUAAAGUCAUUUUAGUACAUAUAUUUUAUUAUAAGUUAUUUAAAAUAUUAAAAUUAUCGUAAAUCAAAUAUAUUGAACAUUUUUUUUAUGAUUCUCAGUAAUUUAUUUUAUAAUCUCUGUUUUAUUUUUUUUUAAUUCGAUUUACUUUAUAUAUUUGUGGUUAUAUAAAAGAUAAUAUAUAAUUUGUAGUGUGUAAUGGUUAAAAGAAAUUUUAUAUUAGUAUGCUGUAAAUAUAUUUGCGGUUAUUGUUUUUAUUAUAUUAGUAGUUUAUAUGUUUUUAUAUAUUUUAAAAUAUAGUUAAAGAUAAAAUCAGAAUACUAUUUUUUAUUUUAAAGUAUAAUUGAAGAUAAAUAAAACUGUAAAAUGUUUAUGCAAAUUGUUAUAAAUUUAUAUAUAUUAUAUAUGAUCUUUUUCUCUUCUUAAAUAUGCUCAGUAACUUUCUCAGUGGAAAUUAUCUUUAUAUAAUGAUUUUUUUUGUUGGUUAGAAAGUUAAUUGUUUAUUCUUAAUAUCUAAUAUCUUUUAUCUUUUAUUUUUUAUAUUUUAUAAUGAUGUGAUUCAUCAAUUUAGCAUUUAAUAUAACUUAAAAGAUUAAUAUUUGUUCGAUAUAUAUAUAUAUAUAUAUAUAUAUAUAUAUAUAUAUAUAUAUAUAUAUAUAUAUAUAUAUAUAUAUAUAUAUAUAUAUAUAUAUAUAUANUAUAUAUAUAUAUAUAUAUAUAUAUAUAUAUAUAUAUAUAUAUAUAUAUAUAUAUAUAUAUAUAUAUAUAUAUAUAUAUAUAUAUAUAUUACUAAGUUUUAGGUUACAAAAAUGUCCAUAUUAAAAAAAAUAACAAUUUUAAAUCUAAUGGUGUUUUAAUAAUUUUAAAAUUUAAUUUAAAAUAAAAUAUAGUUAUUAAAAAUCCUAAUUGGUCCACAUGUACAAGAGAAGUUAUUAGUUUUUAUUAUAUAUUUUUUAAAAGGUAAUUGUUUUUUAAAAUAAAAAAUAAAAUAAAAGGUAGUUGUUUUUUUAAUUCACGGGUUUUAUAAAACUAGAUGGUUCUAUAAACUCAGACGGGUUCUAUAAAUUCAGAAGGGUUCUAUAAUUCCAGACAGGUUCUAUAAAUCCAGACGGGUUCUAUAAACUCAGACGGGUUCUAUAAAUCCAGACGACGGUUCUAUAAACCCAGACCGGUUCUAUAAACUCAGACUGGUUCUAUAAACCCAAAUGAGUUCUAUAAACCUUGAAUCCUAAAUCCUAAACCAUUAUAUUUUUUUAAAAAGUAGUUGUUUUUUAAAAUAAAAAAUAAAAUAAAAGCUAAUAACUUAUCUUGUGGACUAAUCAGGACCUUUUAUUUUUUUUCAUUUUAAAUUCAAUUUUAAAAUUAUUAAAAUACUCUUGGAUUUAAAGUUGGUUUUCUUUUUUAAUAGGGACAUUUUUAUAACCUAAAACUUGGUACAUUUUCCUAAAAUAUACCAACUAAAAAACUCUUUUAUGUAAAUUAGCAAACCCAUAUAUAUAUAUAUAUAUAUAUAUAUAGAGAGAGAGAGAGAGAUUUUCAAAAUAUUAAAAUUAUCUUAAGAUUUUCAUGAUUUUAAAAUGCUUAUUUUAUAAUCUCUAUUUUAGAUUUAUUUGAAUUUGAUUUAUUCUAUAGUAGUACAUAAAUAAAUAAGGUGUCAGUUAAUAUAUUUGCAGUUAAUAUUAUAUGCCUAAUUUGUAUAUUUGUUUUAAGAUGUAGUUAAAGAUAAGAAUUUUGAUAGGUAUAAUUUGUAUUUUUUAUUUUAAGAUAAAUUGAAGAUAAAAUGAAAAUAUGAAAUAUUUACCGUGAAUUGUUAUAAAUUUAUAAAUUAUAUAGAUAUAAAAUAUGAGCUAAGUUAAUACAUACAUUAUCUAUUAUUUAUUAUAAAUUAUAAAUAAGCUUUUGUGUGAUAUGACCUAUUAUUAUUAUUAUUAUUAUUAUUAUUAUUAUGUAUUAUUUAUGUAAAAACCUAUUUUUUAUUUAAGUUUUUCAGCAAGUUAUAACUGUAACACUAGUGCAAAAACGCGGAUUAACGUCGGUUAUUUUGGGCUUUUAACGUCUACACAUGAACCGACGUCAUUUCCGGUGACAUCAAUGCAACGUCGGACAUAUAGCAUAACCGACGUCUAACUUGACGUCAGUCACUGACAAGGUCGACGUGACUAAAUAUAGGUGUAGGGGGAAAAUGGACGUCUAAAGACAUUAUAUAGACGUCGGUCUUCGCAACAACCGACGUCGAAGAGGCACUAAAGACUUCAAAAAUGACACUGAUUGACGUCUAAGAGGUACUAUAGACAUCGGUGUGUACAUUAACCGACGUCUAAUACAGUAGUUGUGUUUUAGUGCAGUUUUGUUCUCGUCUUUGGAUAGCUUAGUAGCACAAUUUCGUUUUGCUAGUUUCCACCAAAAAAAAAACUUGCGUCUCUUGAAUUUCUUAUGGAUCUUUUCAACCCAAAAUCGAACCUGGGUUCUUGCUUAGUUCCAUUUUCAUUCGCAAGAAGAAAAAAUCACGGUGAAACGAUAACUAGGCAAUGACCCAGGGUCGCUUUUAGGUUGAAAUGAUCAAAAGAAAUUCAAUAGACACGCUUUUUCUAGGAGGCAGCUAGCAGAGGGAGAAUGUGUUACUACGUUACUCCAAGAAAGGAACAAAACUGCACUAAAACACAACAAAAAGAAAGCAAAUUUUAAUCAGUUGAACCAGAAGAUAAUCGAUGAAAGACUAAACAAAGUUUAAACGGUAAGCAUAAAUAAAAACCACGCACCUGGGAUGCCGCAAGAGAGAAAAAGAAGAAGAGGCAGAGAGAAAAAGAAAAGGUGCCACAAGCGAGAAAAGGAAGAGGCCGCAAGAGAAAAUGGAGAAGAGGAAGACGAUAUCAGAAACUGAAUGUCGCGAAGAGUUUGCGGUUGCAUAUUUAAAAUGAAAUUGGACGUCGGUUAUCUCACUAAUAUGACGUCCAAGUUAACAUUUCAUCUGACCUUUUGAAUACCAUUAGACGUCGGUUUCUACGGGAGCCGACAUCUCGAAAGCUGAAACGAUUGACGUUUGAUUUCCUGUCAGGGAUGUUGACGACAGUUGUGAUGGGGCAGCGACGUCUAUAAUGAUGAACAUCAUUACUUGCAGGCACAUAGACGUCGGUGCCCCUUCUACCCGACGUCUAUGUAUUACAAGCACAUAGACGUCGCUUCCACUGAACAUCGACGUCUAAAUUGACGAUUUUUUGUCUUCCCGCCUUCCAUUCAGGCCGUAGAUGUCGCCUUUUGACUGCGCGACGUCUAAGCAUCUGGGAAUUAGGUAAAGAGCCUUAAUUGCAGCCCCAUAGACAUCGGCCCCUCGUGAACACCGACGUUAAUGGACUGUCUUCUCACCUACCCCAGACCAUUAGACGUCGGUUUGAGCCAAUGUGGACGUCUACAUUGUAAAAGACGUCGCCUUAACCGAAAACCGGCGUCUUGGUUACCAAACUAUUUACGAUAAUGCCACCGGACACUCAUAGACAUCGGGUUACCAACAAACCGGCGUCUAUUGGGUGACGUUAAACAACGUUUUUGCACUAGUGUAAAUUUGACUUUUAUGUACACCAACAUGUUAAUAACUAAGAAAUGUAAAUAAAUAUACAUUAAAAUGUUUAUAUAUAAUUACUAUAAUAUUAAAAAAAAAGAUAAGAUGAGAAUGUUAUAAAUUAUUGAGGAUGUAAUGUUAUUUAUUAGUAUUUUGAGAGUAUCAAUACCAAAGCAAAUGAUAUUAUUUUUAGUGUAAUAUAAGUAUCGAAUUAGUUAUGUAGGUUUUAUUAAUAAUUUAAAUAUUAAAUAAGAAUGUAUUAAGGGAUGAAAAUAAGAUAGAAGUUCUUAUCACUCCUUUGAGAAACUUAGUUCUAGUAUUUAUAUAAAAAAAAGUUUACCAAGUGGUUGAUAUAUGAAGAUAGAAUAAUAGAAAAUAUUCAAGUUACAGGACAAUUUUCUAUUUUGUAUAUUAUUUAAUAAAUGCCAGAUAUUUUGAUAAUACUAAAUUUACUAUCAUAUCUUUUCAAUAUAAUUUGUUUUCUCGUAUCGUAUGAUAAAUAUAUAUAACAUUAGAGAUGACGAAAAUAACAAUAGUAGGGAUAGAAUUUUAUAAAAUGCAUGAAUUGGAAUUAAAUGUUCUGAAACUAAAUUUGAAAGAAGUUUAAGAAAAUUGAACAACUUAUGAAAUAGUUUAAACAAAUUAAAUUUAACUCAUUACGGUUUCUUAUUGUUGUUGAGUUGAAAGUUUGUCAUCUUCUUUGAAGAUUCAAAGGAGGUGUUCAUCCUUUGUGAAGAUUCAAAGGAGGUGGUCAUCAUUCGUGAAGCGUUCGGAGGAGGUGUUCAUCCCUUGUGGGUUUCAGGAGAAGUGAGUUUCAUCUCUUCUGGUAACAAGAGAGGUGUUCUAACCUUCAACUUGUUUAUUUUCUUUGUGAUUGUAAUAGUUUGUUGGUUUGUGAUAGUGAAGCGUUAAUUCUCAUUUAUUCGAGAUUAACAACUGGACGUAGGAUCUGUGUGACCGAACCAGUAUAAAAAUCUCCUGUGCAAUUUUCUUUCUUCCUUACUUUUUUAUUUCUUUAAUUUUGUAUUAAAAAAUUUAAUUUAUACGAGAAAAUCAUUAAAGGUAUUAUUUGUAAUAAGAAACCGAUUCACCCCCCUCUCUUUGUUUGUUGUACACGCUAACCAUUCUGUUACACAACUCUGACAUAUAUGGAUAAGUUUUCCAUAUCCCAUUAUAAAAUAUAUAUUGUUUUUCAUUAAAUCUUCUCCUUACAUAUAUCAAGCUCCAUUAAGAUCAAAUGUAAGUACAAGAGAGUUAAAUUAAAAGCCAAAUAAGUGUCUACAACUAAUAAGUAAUAAUUGUAACUAAUGAGAAGCAUUGAUGCUUUGAAGAGACUUUGAUGAUGAUGCACUUGAAGACUUGAAGAAACAAAUACAUUCAUUGUUAAAAGCAUUCUUUGUAGAAAGAGUUGUAUUAGGCUUUAACUUUGGAUUAUAAGCACUUAGAUGUCUUGUAACUUCUCUUAAGUAUAGUUUUCUCUCGACAAUAAUCAAUUAUCACGGGAGAUAAACGAUUAUUAUAAGUAAACUUAGAAAAAGGUUUUGUCUCGAGAAUAAUCGAUUGUCAUCGAAUGUGAUAAUUGUUCAGGGUUCAGAAAUAAUCGAUUAUCACUAAUGAUAAUCAAUUAUCAUAUCACGUUUUUCAAAACCCAUAACGACCUAAAAUAAUCUAUUAUCACUUUUGGUAAUUGAUUAUCUCUGACAGUUGGGAGUUGUCUUUUCAUUUUCUGACCCCUGUCCUAUAAAUAGAAGCCUCCUAAACAUUUUACAAGUUACCUAAACUAUUUGAGAGUACAUAAUUGAUUUUGAGGAAACUCUUGUGUUUAGGUGAUAUCUUGAUAUAUUCUUGAAGAAGGAGAAGCUUGUUGUUAGUGUGUCUACGGUGCAAGUUGUUCUCUAACAAGUCUCUCAAGCUGGUGAUCAUUUUUCCCUCAUGUAUCGAAGGAAGGUGUGUAUUCUUUACUAUUUAGUUUUUGAUCCAUCUUGUAAACAUCAAACUGAUUUUUAGUAAAAAGUUAGCCACACUUUCUAAAGUGAUUAACAAUUAGAUGUAGAAUCUUUUUUUUUCGAACCGGUAUAAAAAUCCUGUGUCAUUUUCUUUAUCUCUGCAUUUCCUAAUUUUAAACUGUUUGAAGAAAUUCCUAAAAGAAAACAAAAAUUUUUAAUGGAACCAAUUCACCCUUCCCUCUUGGUUUUUGUCUGAUUUCAUGCUUUUAAACGUUCCGUUGCAUGAUACCAAUUCCUACAAUAAUGUUUUCAAAAAUGAAAACCAAAAGAAUAGAAUCCUAAAAUAAAGCAAUAGUGCAAGAUAGAUUUCUCUAAUCAUACACCUUUAAGAUCCUAGUGUUCAAAAUGAAGAACCAUAUGUGAUAAACCUAUUGUCUAAAGUUUAGUCAAAUCCAACGAUUAAUGAAGCAAAAAUCACAAUUUUAUUGGGGGCAAUGCAGUGAUUAUAUCAGCAAAUUUUCUCUCUCUUUUCUUUCUUCCAAAGGUUGUGACUUUUACACACUCUCUUGACUUAGAAGACCCUCUUCACUUAGGUUAAGUGAGAUAAAAUGAGUUUAACUAGGUUGGAUGUUUUAGACACAUAGAGCCCAACCCAACACAUCUUCCUCCUCAUAACUGUGUGGGAGUGAGGGUUAAUUAAGUGACCUUAAAACUUAGCACAUUUAUGACAAAUGAUAUUUUCACCCUAGGCGAAAAAAUCUCAUUAAGAUCAACAUCCUUUUUGUUUAAAACAUUUCACCAAUAAUUUGAUCUUAUACAUUGGAGAUGUAAAAUUAACCUCAAUUUCACCCUAAAAAUCCACGUUCUUAGAACCCUUUUGCUAAUAGAUAAUUUUACCAAAUUAUAAGUGUGAUUAUCAUGUAAAGAUUUUAUCUCAUCUAGAACUACAUUCAACUAGUUUUAUUUUUCUUCACUUUCCAAAGCUUAUUUAAAAUUAUUCAGGUUCUACUAUCUGAGAAUUGUGUCCAAUUUUUUUUUCAGAUUCUUUUUUACAAACAAUUCCGGUAUCUUAUGACAAAAAGGGGGUAAAAAAACAGGAAUGAUGAUUACACGGUCCGCCAUUUUCCAUAUAUAUAUAUAUCUAUAUAUCUAUAUAACCAGAUAUAACCAGGUUAAGCGUCAAUUCAUCGAAAAUAGAAAUUUUAAGAAAAAUUGUAUUGGAAUAGGAAUCCAUUUCUUCUUCUUGUUC